GAUGGAAUAUAAGAAAAGUAUUUUGUGAUGGUGGAGUAUAAGAAAGCAAUAGAGAGAUUGUUAAUAGCAGCCGACAAAAUUAAGAAUGAGGCACAUUCUAUUUCGUGUUCCUCCUCCAACCAACACCUCCCACUUCCCUCUGCCCCCCUUACCCCCAAACUACAAUCCUCUACAUAUACAUAUCUGUAUCUAACUCUUAGUAUUGCUUCAAGAAAGUUUGAUUCAACUUGUAAAUUUUCAAUUUUGAAAGUUGGGUACUUGUUUUUUUUUGAAUUGGGGUUAGCUCCAUGUGGGAUUCUUGAAUUUUGAUUUGAUGAAUUUCCUUCCAAGAUGUUUGAGUUACAGUGAAUGUAGUGGUGGAGCUGGAAGAAGUGAAAUUAGGGGUGGUGAAAGUUCCAAUGGUGGAUUUGGGAAAGAUGGGUUGUUGUGGUUUCAUGAUAUUGGGAAUUGUGGGAGUGGGGAAUAUUCCAUGGCUAUUGUGCAAGCUAAUCAGGUCUUAGAGGAUCAGAGCCAGAUUGAGUCUGGUCCAUUUGGAACUUUUGUUGGAGUCUAUGAUGGUCAUGGUGGACCUGAAACUGCUCGUUAUGUUUGUGAUCACUUAUUUCGACAUUUCCAAGCAAUAUCAGCUGAAGGAAAUGGUGUAGUCACAGAGGAGACAAUUCAAAGGGCCUUUCUUGAGACAGAGAGAGGGUUUACUUCUGUUGUUUCGGAAAAUUGGCAUUCUCGACCACAACUAGCAACAGUGGGGGCAUGCUGCCUGGUUGGAGCUAUAUAUCAGCAGACACUCUUUGUAGCAAAUCUUGGUGACUCUCGUGUAGUCCUUGGAAAGAAGGUUGGAAACACUGGAGAAAUUGCUGCCAUGCAGCUAUCAACGGAGCAUAAUGCCAAUAUUGAGUCUGUUAGGUGGGAGCAAAAAGACUUGCAUCCAAAUGAUCCUCAAAUUGUUGUUCUUAGACAUGGUGUUUGGAGGGUAAAAGGAAUAAUUCAGGUCUCAAGAUCCAUUGGUGAUGUUUAUCUUAAACACACAAGAUUUUGCAGGGAACCAACAAAUGGAAAAUUCAGAGUUCCUCAACCCCUUAAUAUGCCUAUCCUGUUGGCCACUCCAACAAUUUUAAAACAUCCUCUACAUCCAAAUGACUCCUUCCUCAUAUUUGCUUCUGAUGGUCUAUGGGAGCACUUGAGCAAUGAAAAGGCCGUUGAAAUUGUGAAGAGUCACCCUCGUAAAGGAAGUGCAAAGAGGCUUGUCAAGGCUGCUCUCCAUGUAGCUGCCAAAAAAAGAGAGAUGCGAUAUUCUGAUCUUCGAAACAUUGACAAAAAGAGAAUAUGGUUUCAAUUCUUUAAAAUGGCAAUGGAGGCUUGGCAUACGCCGUUGGUUUCAAGAACUUGGAGAUGGGGGUCAUUUUCUCAUCUUGCAAGGAAGUUUUCCUGCCAAAAGCACCAUUUGGAGGUUGGCAGGCAGGGGCAGAUCCAGGAAGUUCCUUGAGUUUAACUAGUUGGAGGAACAAUGGGCAACUGCACCUGACUCUCUUGAAGCAGUUGGUAGACUCUACUCCUCUCCCCGGUUUCAUUGUGCUCUACGUUCAAAGCUUCAACUCAAUCACUUGGAUGGACAUAUGGGAUUUGACCUACCAACCUCAAUAUCGAGUGUGAGAAUGGUAUCCAAGUGUUCUCUGCCCCUCCCAAUAGGACUUGUUUCUCAACCACUCGUUUACUACAAGAAUGUAUCAUGAUAAGAAUCAAAGCGAAGUGGUCUUGUGAAUGUCCAAUUCUCGCGUCUUUUUUAGGUGACCACAAACCAAGCAGAGGCGGAAAAGAUCAAACACAGGAAUAAGAAGCAAGCUCACCUUCCUUUUUGAUCAUUUGAAGAAAGUGCACUUUAGAUACUCGGUAACUUAAUUUCCCAAACUAAUAUACUUGUUUGAAAUAUCUCCAUGUUGUUGGAAAAAUGAUUCUAGUAUCUCAAAAGUUAUAUUAUUUCCUAUUAUACUUGAAAGAGAAUAUUAUUUUAUGUUCUAAAUAUUUCUCUCCAUAAAUAAUAUUCUAUUGCCAUUUUUUCCCCUGUUAUAAUAUGGUUGUUACAAAAUGUUUCUUUUGUUGAAAUGAAUUGCCUUCAAUUCAUUAAUGUGUUCAAUGCCUUUUAUGGUUUUUGACUAUUUCAACCAUUCACAUAUUUGAGAGGUUACUAAUUUCCUGUUGAUCGUAAAAACAGAAGCUUGUAAUAUAGCUAGACCAAAUUCAAUAAAUAUAGUAAGAUUCCAUUUUAUUUGUCUGCCUCCCCCCCUCCCCCC
This is an RNA transcript of Solanum lycopersicum (tomato), 2288 nucleotides long. It is a transcript of the gene named probable protein phosphatase 2C 42, with no coding region annotated. The record is from RefSeq and is a predicted model, not a curated record. Lineage: Eukaryota; Viridiplantae; Streptophyta; Magnoliopsida; Solanales; Solanaceae.